This is an RNA transcript of Erinaceus europaeus (western European hedgehog), 1318 nucleotides long. RefSeq lists it as uncharacterized. The record is from RefSeq and is a predicted model, not a curated record. Lineage: Eukaryota; Metazoa; Chordata; Mammalia; Eulipotyphla; Erinaceidae. The transcript has 5 exons.
GCAGGGCUGCUGGGCUCACCGGGCGGGCUUUGCGCCUCCCCGCGCUUCCUGCCACGCCGGGCCUGGCCGCGCUCCCCGCCGAGGACGCCGAGUGCCGCCGGCCAGCAUCCCGCAGAGCCGUGGCUCUCGCACCCCGCCGCCCUACUGUGCCGCACCCGCCCUGCUUCGCACCGCGGAGGACCAGGCGCUCCCGCACCGCGCCCCCGAGGGCCACGCGGCCGCCGGCCAAGACACCAUGCAAGAGAUGACGCCAAGACUUAAAGGCAAGGACCAAGAGACAGGGCUGCUGCCACUCCCAGCCUUCUGACUAGUUCUGUUUGCCCUCCACCGCUGUGGAGCCCCAGAAGCCUGGUCCCAGCAGGCACUCAUGAGGUUGAGGAGGCCUGGGGCUCGGUGACAUUUGAUAGCAGGACUCAGUACCUCAUGGAAAGGGGAGCAGAGGAGGCUGGACCUGUCUGAGCUGAGGAUUCCACAUUCUGUAAAGACAUCACCUCCAGAGGAGUUCUUGUCCCAGUGCCUGACCUGGUACAACUAGACUGCUGUUGGCCUGUCCCCACCCAGGAUCCAGUCCGGGACUCUGGACAAGUCACCAUGGCAGCAGCCAGGAUCAGACUUCCAGGGUGGAGGACUCAGAAGACCCCUGUGCCAGGAGCUGAAUGGGAAAAGUCAGAUGGGAGCAGCCAUUUGGAACAAGCCCAGAUUUUAAGGUCUGCACAUCACCAAACCAGCAACAGAGGGGCUUGGGGCCUCAGCAAGAUGGCCAAAGCCAAAGGCCAAGUGUUGCCUCGAGCUCUGGCACACAGGACACCUUCUGAGGUGCUGCUCAAAGCACAAGUGGGCCCUGUGGUGCAGGCCCUGCAGGCUCCUGUGGUUCUGCCACCACCUCUGCGCUUAACUGGGUGCGCCACCACCUGGCCUCACUGCCACUGCCUCUGCAGACCUUGAGCGUGAUGUUCCAUAAUCUCUCCUCUCUCUCAUGAAAGUGAGUGAAUAUAUUUAUUUUAAAAGUGUAUAGGGCUGGAGAGAUAGCACAGUGGCUAUGCAAAAAAAAAAAAAAAAGACUUUCAUGCCUCAGACACCAAAGAUUCUGGGUUUAAUCCUCAGCAUCACCAUAACUAAGAGCAGCACAGUGGUGUGGUAAACAAAGAAAAUUUGGCCAAGGAAAUGGCAUGAUGGAUAAAGUGUUGAACUGUCAAGCAUAAAAUCCCAAGUUCAAUCCCUGGCAUCACAGUGGUGAUCAGUCUGGUUCUCUCUCUCUCUCUCUCUCUCUCUCUCCCUACUUUCAUCAUAAAUAAAUAAAUAUUUUUUAUAAAAUGUA